GAUGAACGCUGGCGGCGUGCCUAAUACAUGCAAGUCGAGCGAACAGAUGAGGAGCUUGCUCCUCUGACGUUAGCGGCGGACGGGUGAGUAACACUUGGAUAACCUACCUAUAAGACUGGGAUAACUUCGGGAAACCGGAGCUAAUACCGGACAAUAUAUUGAACCGCAUGGUUCAAUAGUGAAAGACGGUUUUGCUGUCACUUAUAGAUGGAUCCGCGCCGCAUUUGCUAGUUGGUAAGGUAACGGCUUACUAAGGCAACGAUUCGUAGCCGACCUGAGAGGGUGAUCGGCCACACUGGAACUGAGACACGGUCCAGACUCCUACGGGAGGCAGCAGUAGGGAAUCUUGCGCAAAGGGCGAAAGCCUGACGGAGCAACGCCGCGUGAGUGAUGAAGGUCUUCGGAUCGUAAAACUCUGUUAUUAGGGAAGAACAAAUGUGUAAGUAACGAUGCACGUCUUGACGGUACCUAAUCAGAAAGCCACGGCUAACUACGUG
Molecule: ribosomal RNA, 497 nt
Filed under: uncultured bacterium
Lineage: Bacteria
Description: partial 16S ribosomal RNA
Rfam family: Bacterial small subunit ribosomal RNA
Source: RNAcentral